This is a long non-coding RNA of Mustela erminea (ermine), 105 nucleotides long. RefSeq lists it as uncharacterized. Lineage: Eukaryota; Metazoa; Chordata; Mammalia; Carnivora; Mustelidae. The transcript has 2 exons. The record is from RefSeq and is a predicted model, not a curated record.
UAGAAAUGCAAAAGGAAAACACAGGUGUAUGUAUCAAAAAGUUCAGGUUAGAAGAUUAUUAUGGAGUUUGAUGUACUGGACAUCUCACUGUGAUGGUAAAUAGGU